This 1452-nucleotide long non-coding RNA is filed under the name Physcomitrium patens. RNAcentral describes it as "long non-coding RNA (PPAT_LNC001490)". The record is from RNAcentral. Lineage: Eukaryota; Viridiplantae; Streptophyta; Bryopsida; Funariales; Funariaceae.
AAUCGAUUGUCCUGGGAAGUAUUGUGUUCAAUGUGGUGGACUUGGUCACCAGGAGUCAAGCUUGAGAUGUGCUCUCGAGGAAGCUUUGUUUCUCAACAGGUGAUGACCUUCUUCACGAUAUUUCUAUGUCAAGCGGUGCAAUUACUAUUUUCAGCAGGGGAUGCAAGAACGCCGUCUGGCUGCAGUGAUUACUGAACUAUCUAUAUGAAGCAUAUGCUGGGUCACUCAGUUUGUUAUGAAGCAAACCAUCUUUUAUAUUCCUACUCCCUGAAAUUGCAGGACAUUUGUGUUGCCAUCAACUAUGUGCAUUGCCAAGGAACACAACAAUGCAAAGCUACCCCAGCUUAGAGAGGACCAAUGGUAUACCUCAGUCUUGCAUGGACUUGCCAAUCUUUGAAAUGUUCAAGAUUUUGCAAUCUCUAUUGUCAUUGGAUUUCAUGGCUGGUCGACAUGUGUUGCUACGCUUCGGUGACAUAGCGCUCUUCACUUGGAGACUAAAACGGUUGGGAUGUCCAUUCUCAAGCUGCAAAUCCGAAACAUGGAAUCGGAUAUGUAGGACCUGUAGUAUGUACAUGUCACCAACUGGCUGUCUUGCAGCAGGUUGGAGUUGAACAGGUGCUCCAUGGCUGCGCUCUACGAUCUGGUGUUAAUGUCGCAGACAGUGCCUGUGAUUGCAUCAAACUCCAAAGAAUGGCAUGAUAUAUUUUUACGAAAAGACACGGUGUUUGUUCAAGUUGAAGGCAUAAAGCGGGAGGAACUGAAGCAUAAGGAAAUGUUUCGGCAAGCACACGUUGUAAAUCGCACUGCAAACAAGCAGGCGUGGUGAGAGGAUUGGAAGCGAAGAUACAAGCAGUCCUCUGACACAAAUUGAUGAAUUACUAUUAUGAUUGUGUUAGUAUUCCUUAGCGAUCUGCACACUCGAGCAAAACUCAUAAGGUGGUUAUCGAGCAUAAGGUGCGAAGCAAGCCACAGUUCACUCACUUUGCUUGGUAAGUUGUGGCAGGUUUAUGGAGUGCAAGAAUCGACAUAAUCAAAGUGCCAUUAUGCUUUCUUAUUCCUUCCUACAGACAAUGGUUGCACCCCCACUUCGCGCUGCUGCCGAGCUCGUAAGAUAUCUUCGAAUAGGCGCACAUGCUUGAUUCAUAUAAAUGCUACUACAUGCUGACUAUUUUACGUAUCACUUAAAUGCUUCCUGCAACUCCGUAAAUAGCUCCAGAUACUUCUUGAUGAAAUGUUAUUACUUCCACGACCUGUUACUGCGAGUGAUUAAGAGACUCAGCUGUGAUGGUAGGACUUAUCCUGGAAUUCUUUCGUCCACAGAUCAAAGAGGAGCUGAAAGACUACGAUGCAUUACAUGUUCGCAGAGGUGACAAAGUGAAGGUUCAUAAGGCAAAAUCUGGAGCACUUCGCACCAUGUACGCCCACCUGGACAAUGACACUCAACCAGAGGCC